GUCGAGUUAGUAUAUUUAGUACGUAGUGUUGUGAUCGCUAAAGAAAUCGUUAUUACUUGACU
RNAcentral lists this transfer RNA (62 nucleotides) under Brachionus plicatilis. RNAcentral describes it as "tRNA-His". The record is from RNAcentral. Lineage: Eukaryota; Metazoa; Rotifera; Eurotatoria; Ploima; Brachionidae.